ACUCCAGUGGUGGUGUAAUGGCACCACUAAAAUUUGAUGAGGAAAUUUUGAGCAAUGUUCAGACUAGGCCUUUUUCUAAAAAUGGGUAACCGCACAGGAUUUGCUGCUAGAGCAAGUAUUUUAAAGAAAGAACCCCCUUGUCAUCUGAGCCUAUAAUUGAUGAUGAAAAUAAUGACCUGAGUCAUCUGGGCAAGACGACUUCGUAAACAUGGUUAAUGAUAAAGGAGGGGAAGGGUGUGAGACCAUGAACCCUGAAGGUGAUAGCAACUUAGACAAUGGAGAAGAAAGAAUGAACUUGGAAUCAGAGAGUUUGUUCA
This 317-nucleotide long non-coding RNA is filed under the name Olea europaea (common olive). RNAcentral describes it as "long non-coding RNA (OEUR_LNC003780)". The record is from RNAcentral. Lineage: Eukaryota; Viridiplantae; Streptophyta; Magnoliopsida; Lamiales; Oleaceae.